Molecule: ribosomal RNA, 253 nt
Filed under: uncultured bacterium
Lineage: Bacteria
Description: partial 16S ribosomal RNA
Rfam family: Bacterial small subunit ribosomal RNA
Source: RNAcentral
UACGGAGGGUGCAAGCGUUAUCCGGAUUCACUGGGUUUAAAGGGAGCGUAGGUGGGUUGGUAAGUCAGUGGUGAAAUCCCCGAGCUUAACUUGGGAACUGCCAUUGAUACUAUCAGUCUUGAAUACUGUGGAGGUUAGCGGAAUAUGUCAUGUAGCGGUGAAAUGCUUAGAUAUGACAUAGAACACCAAUUGCGAAGGCAGCUGGCUGCACAAAUAUUGACACUGAGGCUCGAAAGCGUGGGGAUCAAACAGG